Molecule: long non-coding RNA, 1232 nt
Filed under: Ficedula albicollis (Collared flycatcher)
Lineage: Eukaryota; Metazoa; Chordata; Aves; Passeriformes; Muscicapidae
Description: lncRNA (ENSFALG00000027992.1)
Source: RNAcentral
UUCAGUCAAUCAGCUUUUGCAGCUACCACAGCGUGAACCCUUUUAAUAUGAACAAGCCAUGGUGGUUAUUCCCCUAUGAAUCCCUAAGUCUGCCUGCUUGUUAAUUUCCUUUUAUAAUUUUUUAUGGGAGAGUCCUCUGUGAAGACAUGUUAGCUAAGUUUACAGUGUAGAGAGAGGGAAAAUGAGAAUAAUCACCGGUGGGCAGUAUUUCAGUUUCUAAAGUUAAAGGGGAUUAGUUAAAUUAAAUAUAGGGCAUUCAAGAAUAGCAACCAGAGUCAGUGACAGGAACAAAGUGAUGGGAGGUGGCUUCUCAUUAGCAAAGCAGUGAUGAGAGAGAGGAGAAGAACAUAGUGGCAAAGAUAUAAGAAGUGAAAAGCACCCCUUCAGAGAAAUGUUUGGGUCUAACUUGCCUUUAAAAUUAUCUCUGUGCAACCUCCUAAAGUCGUUUAUUAUCAGUUAAGAAUCCCUAAUCUUCCUUAGGUUCUGUUUUUGAUGAUGGUUUUCAGUUACCUCCCAAACUGAUAUGGUUAUUUGCUGCCCUACUUGUUUUCUAGUGUUUCCAGUUUACUUUAUCAUACUUAAUUUUUUAAAAAAUAAUUUUAAAUAAACACAAAGUUUUCAAAUUAAAUCCAGGUGACUUAUUGCCUUUCAUCCUUUCCAGCAGGAGUACAUUAAAAUCCAGUACAUUUUCUCUAGGACUUGACCUAAAAGCAGCAGGCACCUUGCAAUGGAAGGGAUAUGGCAGAAAUUAGAAAAGCCCAACCAGAGUCAGGAGAUGACCAGAGGAAUGGCAGCCACUUCCCAAGGAAUGAGAGGGUUUUACUUCGGAGAUGAGCUGACAGAGCAUCAUUGAGAGGGCUCUGUAGACACUGAAGGACACAGGUAUGUGGGCAGAGGAAAAACAGCUCAAUGCCUUUUUCAUCACAUGCUGUGCCACAGGAAUGUCGAUCUUCAUGUGACCUGCAGCUGAGCGUGGGAACUCCUGGGCACAGGAGUAGUAGCAGGUAGGUGCUAAAUUCCCACAGUAAUGUAAAAGGCACUGAGCUUCUCAAAGCAAUAGCCACUGGAAACUGCUGCCCAGCUGCCCUGGCUGACAGCAUCCUGUGCUGCCUGUUCCUCCCAGGACAGUGUUCAGGGGCAGCUUCUCCCUACACUCACUCUGCCCUGCCCUGAGCACUGGAUUUUGGCAUCUGCCAAUGAUGGGACACGAGAUGAAGAUUUGGUCUAGUCCG